This 1624-nucleotide long non-coding RNA is filed under the name Arabidopsis thaliana (thale cress). RNAcentral's name for it is "potential natural antisense gene, locus overlaps with AT2G44800 (AT2G44798)". The record is from RNAcentral. Lineage: Eukaryota; Viridiplantae; Streptophyta; Magnoliopsida; Brassicales; Brassicaceae.
AGUAAAUUGAAUUAAUAAUAAAUAGUGACAUCUCUAAUAUCUUCUUCGUCAACAAAACAAUCUCUUUAAUUGAAAUAAUUUCCGUUUUAUCUUUUGAUUUGGUGACAGCAGUUUAAAGACCUAUGCUACACGUUAUAUAUUUUUUUCCAACAAUAUCUUACGAACGAGUUAAAUUAUAUGAUUUUUCUAAGUAAAAAGAGAGAGCCGACCAAAAAAAAAAAAAUCAAACGGUAAAUGACAAAGUAACUACGGUUAAAAUAAAUAACCAACGCUCGAUAAUCCCGGAUAAUAGAAAAAAAAAAACAGAGACAGCUAGAAAAAAAACAGAGCUCCUUCGCGACGAGAAGUCGCCGCCGGAAUCGAGAGGCCAAGGCCGUAGUUUGAGAGUUUAAAGGAAAAUUACUCCCGACGUUGAUUAGUCUCCGGAGGAUACUUUGUGAUAUUUUGUUGAUUCAUAGGUAGACUGUGAAGACUUGCAAAAGAUAGCCUUUUGACUUCUUUGUUCACUGUUACACGAUGAAUGACGCUCUUGUAUAUGCCGUUGCUCAUCACCUCUACCUGAUCUCCCAGCUGAACUAUCAAAGCUCCUUCUAUAUACGGCACACAAACCCAGUUUUUGUUGCAGUCCAUUAUCUGGAGUCCCUUGCUACUCUGAAGUAAGAUGGUCAGUGAGCUGAAGUCUGAGUGUGGUGGCAUUCCCAAGGCCAUUUCAGGUUCCGGGCAUGCUGGAUAACAAUUCACUGCCAUGACUUCAAAUGUGUUGCCUCUGCAUACUUGCCCACUUUAUCCCUGAAAGCAUGGAGGAUUUGAUGGCCACAUAUCGAUCCACUUUGAGAGUGGAUGAGAGUAAUGCUUGAUGAAAUCUCUCCAGUAGUGAACUCUGUCUGUUGAAUGGUUAAGGCUUGUGCCAUACCUGACUGGCUCAUGAACGUUUGCAGACACCAGAAGCAUCUUCUCUUCCACAGGCCAUGCUAAUCUCGUGGAUUGCGAGGGAUCGAAGGAAAGGUUGGUGCAAAAGAGAGAGAUCAAUGACAGGAAGUGUAGUCUCGCUGGUGCCUAAGCUUGAACCAAGAGCUGGCCUUUGCGAAGGAGGAAGAACGUAGCGAUCAGGGACUUGAGGCACACCUGAAUUGGGGCAAAACUGUCUUUUCAUCAGAUCAGACUGGAUGAAUAUCGGUCGAGAUUCAUGGACCAGCACUGAAUAAGGAUGCUGUAUCAUUUAGUUUAUAUAUGUCAUAUGAAUAAAUAAGUAAUUUUUAAUCCUUGUUGAGAAUUGGAAAAAUAACAUGCAUGUUAAAAUGCAUCUGUACUACAACAAGGUCUAUGAGUUGGUUUUUCCUCUUGUCGAAGGUUACAGAGUUCCUCUACCGUUGGAGGAGAGAGUAACUAGUGUGACAUCAUUCUUUCGUAAGAGAUUGUGGAGACUAGAGACCGAGAGUAGUACAGAGAAUUUUUUUUAAUUGUUCCAUAUUUGAAUUAGAACUCUAUCAAGUGUUUCUUUUUGUGUCUAAUCUCAAUAUUAAGCAGUGUCACUUCCAUGUCGGCUGCUGGAUAAAUCCAGCUUUUUCCGUUUGGGUCGAAAACUAAUGGGCCAAAUUUUAUUGUAACGGGCUUGGAAGUUGGG